This 420-nucleotide ribosomal RNA is filed under the name Fusobacteriota bacterium. RNAcentral describes it as "Fusobacteria bacterium partial 16S ribosomal RNA". It matches the Rfam family "Bacterial small subunit ribosomal RNA", at positions 355 to 776 of the family's 1533-position model. Lineage: Bacteria; Fusobacteriati; Fusobacteriota. The record is from RNAcentral.
UGGGGGAUAUUGCACAAUGGGCGAAAGCCUGAUGCAGCGACGCCGCGUGGGGGAUGAAGGCCUUCGGGUUGUAAACUUCUUUUGCUCUGAACAAGGCAUGCCUUUGGGGUGUGUUGAGUGUAGGGGUUGAUUAGCGCCGGCUAACUACGUGCCAGCAGCCGCGGUAAUACGUAGGGCGCGAGCGUUGUCCGGAAUUAUUGGGCGUAAAGGGCUUGUAGUUGGCUGGUUGCGUCUGUCGUGAAAGCUCAUGGCUUAACUGUGGGUUUGCGGUGGGUACGGGCUGGCUUGAGUGCAGUAGGGGAGGCUGGAAUUCCUGGUGUAGCGGUGGAAUGCGCAGAUAUCAGGAGGAAUACCGGUGGCGAAGGCGGGUCUCUGGGCUGUUACUGACGCUGAGGAGCGCAAGCGUGGGGAGCGAACAGG